This 463-nucleotide ribosomal RNA is filed under the name uncultured bacterium. RNAcentral's name for it is "partial 16S ribosomal RNA". It matches the Rfam family "Bacterial small subunit ribosomal RNA", at positions 28 to 507 of the family's 1533-position model. The record is from RNAcentral.
GACGAACGCUGGCGGCGUGCUUAACACAUGCAAGUCGAACGGAAAGGCCUUUUCGGAGGUACUCGAGUGGCGAACGGGUGAGUAACACGUGGGUGAUCUGCCCUGCACUCUGGGAUAAGCCUGGGAAACUGGGUCUAAUACCGGAUAGGACCGCACUUCAGUGUGUGUGGUGGAAAGUUUUUUCGGUGUAGGAUGAGCCCGCGGCCUAUCAGCUUGUUGGUGGGGUAAUGGCCUACCAAGGCGGCGACGGGUAGCCGGACUGAGAGGUUGGUCGGCCACAUUGGGACUGAGAGACGGCCCAGACUCCUACGGGAGGCAGCAGUGGGGAAUAUUGCACAAUGGGCGCAAGCCUGAUGCAGCGACGCCGCGUGGGGGAUGACGGCCUUCGGGUUGUAAACUCCUUUCGCCAGGGACGAAGCGUUUUGUGACGGUACCUGGAGAAGAAGCACCGGCUAACUACGUG